Molecule: ribosomal RNA, 481 nt
Filed under: uncultured bacterium
Lineage: Bacteria
Description: bacterial SSU rRNA
Rfam family: Bacterial small subunit ribosomal RNA
Source: RNAcentral
CCUACGGGAGGCAGCAGUAAGGAAUAUUGGACAAUGCUCGCAAGAGUGAUCCAGCCAUGCCGCGUGCAGGAAGAAUGCCCUAUGGGUAGUAAACUGCUUUUGAACUAGAGAAAAUCCCAGUACGUGUACUGGGCUGAUAGUAUAGUUAGAAUAAGCAUCGGCUAACUUCGUGCCAGCAGCCGCGGUAAGACGAAGGAUGCAAGCGUUAUCCGGAUUCAUUGGGUUUAAAGGGAGCGUAGGUGGACUGAUAAGUCAGUGGUGAAAUCUCCGAGCUUAACUCGGAAAUUGCCAUUGAUACUGUUGGUCUUGAGUACAGUUGCUGUGGGCGGAAUAUGACAUGUAGUGGUGAAAUACAUAGAGAUGUCAUAGAACACCGAUUGCGAAGGCAGCUCACAAAGCUGUAACUGACACUGGAGCUCGAAGUAGNGGGAGUACAACAGAUAGAUACCUACGUAGUCGCACCGUAACGAUAGUAUACUCG